CAGUCGCUGAAUAUAAAAUGCGCUACAUGACUAUUGAUUCAAAUCAUUUUUGAUUUGAACACCAAAGCGACAACAUGUCUGUACCAGCAAAUAAAUUUCAAGUUCCACAGACUGAGAAUUGGGACUUAGAAAUAAGCCAGUCCGAGAUGAAAAAAAAUACCAGCAUCGGGGUGGUAACUCCAAAAACGAAAACCGAAGACUGGGAAGCUGAAAUUGCGGUGGCGAAACGUCCUCCAUUCUUUCUCAGCGUGGGCAAAAUAACACAGCGACGUAUAAACCGAAUGCACCGAUGCUGGACCUGUCACUGCGUGCCUGUCAAUUGUCGAUGUGCAAAAUAUUGAAUAAACUUGUUGAAACGUUAA
This is a long non-coding RNA of Dreissena polymorpha, 362 nucleotides long. RefSeq lists it as uncharacterized. Lineage: Eukaryota; Metazoa; Mollusca; Bivalvia; Myida; Dreissenidae. The record is from RefSeq and is a predicted model, not a curated record. The transcript is spliced from 2 exons.